Molecule: ribosomal RNA, 579 nt
Filed under: uncultured organism
Description: bacterial SSU rRNA
Rfam family: Bacterial small subunit ribosomal RNA
Source: RNAcentral
GUGCGUAACGCGUAUGCACCUACCUUUGGCACGGUGACAGCCUGGUGAGGGCCGGAUUAGUACCCGGUAUAGUCUGUUAUACACCUGUAUAAAAGACGAGAGCUACUGCGGCCAAAGAUUGGCAUGCGUGCCAUUAGUUAGUUGGUAGGGUAACGGCCUACCAAUGCAUCGAUGGCUACUGNGUCUAAAAGGAUGAGCCCGCACACUGGUACUGAGACACGGACCAGACUCCUAGGGGAUGCAGCAGUGAUGAAUAUUGGUCGAUGGGUGGAAGCCUGAACCAGCCAUGCCGCGUGCAGGAAGACGGCCUUAUGGGUUGUAAACUGCUUUUCUACGGGACGAACGGCUCUGACGUGUCAGAGAUUGACGGUACCGUAGGAAUAAGCAUCGGCUAACUCCGUGCCAGCAGCCGCGGUAAUACGGAGGAUGCGAGCGUUAUCCGGAUUUAUUAGGUUUAGAGGGUGCGUAGGCUGGGCAAUAAGUCAGUGGUGAAAGUCCGCGGCUCAACCGUGGGAUUGCCAUUGAAACUGUUGUUCUUGAGUACAGUCGAGGUAGGCGGAAUGUUGUAAUGUAGCGGUG